RNAcentral lists this ribosomal RNA (276 nucleotides) under uncultured Glomus. Its description in RNAcentral is "partial 18S ribosomal RNA". It matches the Rfam family "Eukaryotic small subunit ribosomal RNA", at positions 548 to 830 of the family's 1831-position model. The record is from RNAcentral. Lineage: Eukaryota; Fungi; Glomeromycota; Glomeromycetes; Glomerales; Glomeraceae.
UUGGAGGGCAAGUCUGGUGCCAGCAGCCGCGGUAAUUCCAGCUCCAAUAGCGUAUAUUAAAGUUGUUGCAGUUAAAAAGCUCGUAGUUGAAUUUCGGGGUUAGUAGGUUGGUCAUGCCUCUGGUAUGUACUGGUCUCACUGAUUCCUCCUUCCUUAUGAACCGUAAUGCCAUUAAUUUGGUGUUGCGGGAAUUUGGACUGUUACUUUGAAAAAAUUAGAGUGUUUAAAGCAAGCUAACGCUUGAAUACAUUAGCAUGGAAUAAUGAAAUAGGUACG